AAAUCUUAAUUGAUCAAAACUUUUUUUUUUAAUAAAACCUCGAGACAUGAAUUUAGGCCCGAUCAUAUGGACCUAAGUCAUUGAACCUCAACCCAUCCGUAUUAAAUCAACACUUUGACUCUAAACNCUAAGCAGCAACCCCAUAGAGUCGUCGUCGACAGCCGCGGUGCUCGAUUCGUCGAGCUCCGCCAUGUCUCAGCCCUGCCUCUACCGAGCUUCACCGAGCUUUGCCUUGUCUUCCCUUGUCGUCGGCAGCCGCGGUGCUCAAUCCGUCGAGCUCCACCGAGUCCCGCUGCCGUCCUCGACUCGAAGCCGCGCCACCCGCAGCUGAUCUGCCUGAAGCCGCGCCACCCGCGGCCGAUCCGCCCGAAGCCGCGCCACCCGCUGCCGAUCCGCCCGAAGCCGCGCCACCCGCGGCUAAUUCGUCGAUGCCCAUGCCGAACCGCCGCCCAUGACUCUGCUCGUGAUCUAAGCCGAUCCGUCGACGCCCGCGCGCCGUCGUCAACUUUGAUGGCUCGAACCCGAGGAGUUCCCUCUGAUGCCGCGUCGCUCCACCUCGAAGGCCGCAACCCCGUCGAUGCCCCGCCGCUGUCGUGGCCCUUCACCGCUGCAGAGUAUCGCCGUCACGACCCUCCUCCGUCGCGGUCUCAGAUCCGCGGCUCCACUGUCGGGUCACAGCCCCAGCGGAGCUCCGGCAUCAGCAAAGCCCGCCAGCUGCUCGACGGCGAUCCUGAGAGAGAGAGCGGUGCUCUCCUCUCAAACGGGUUCCGCCCGCCAAGUGCUUGAUGUGCCCGGAGUCCGCCCACCAACCGCUCGACGGCGAUCCUGAGAGAGAGAGCGGUGCUCUCCUCUCAAACGGGUUCCACCCGCCAAGUGCUCGAUGUGCCCGGAGUCCUCCCACCAACCGCUCGACGGCGAAUCUGAGAGAGAGAGCGGUGCUCUCUUCUCAAACAACGGCAAAUUCGAGAGAGAGAGAGAGAGAGCAGUGCUCUCCUUUCAAAUGAAGUUAGAUCCACUCGCCAAGUGCUCGACGGCGAAAUUGAGAGAGAGAGCGAUGCUCUCCUCUCAAAUGAAGUCAAGUCCGCCAACCGCUCCGACAACGAAUCCGAGAGAGAGAGAGCGGUGCUCUCCUCUCAAACAAAGUUCGCCCGCUAAUUGCUAGGUGGCGAAUCAUAAAGAGAGCGAUGCUCUCAUUUACCGACUAAUCAUUCGACGAAAUACUUCGUCGUCGACGUGCUAAUCAAACCGCUCGAUGGAAUGCCGAGAUGAACAUCGAUGGUGCUUUUUGCAAAAUAUCACCAAAAAGAGAGAUCACUCUAAAAGAGAGAGAGAGCUUUGACAAAAUCACAUUAGACGCUUCAAAUUAAAUUGAAAUUUAAUUUGUUAUUCAAAUCCAGAAUUUGAAGAAAAUGUAUAUGAAAAUCUUAAUUGAUCAAAACUUUUUUUUUUAAUAAAACCUCGAGACAUGAAUUUAGGCCCGAUCAUAUGGACCUAAGUCAUUGAACCUCAACCCAUCCGUAUUAAAUCAACACUUUGACUCUAAACCCAUCUAAACCCAUUAACCUUAACCUCACUCAAAAUCCAUUAACCGUUACCUAUAACCCAAUCCAAUUAAACCUUAGCCCAAUUCUAAACCUAUAACCUAUAACCCAAUCCAAUUAAAUCUAAGCCUAGUCCAAAGCCCAGAGCCCAUUUACAAAUGGCCCCGGUCCAAAACCCAUUUGGGCCCACUAUCUAAACCCAUUAUCCAAAACUCAUUAAAACCAUUAACCCAUGAACCCAUAUACAUAAACCUAUAUACAUUUACCCAUGAACCCGUACACAUUUAACCCAUAUCCAAGCCCAUAACUUUAACCAAGUCCAUGAACUUUGAACCAAAACCAUGGACCAAACCAUACACCAAAUCCUGUGGACCAUACCAUACACCAAAUCCACGAACUAUGAAUCAAGUUCAUGAAUCAAAUCAAGUUCAUGAACCAGGGAUCAUAGACCACAAACCAUACACCAAGUUCAUGAACCAUAAACCCAUGAACCAUAAAUCCAUGAACCAUAAGUCCAUGAACCAUAAACCCAUACACCAAGUUCAUGAACCAUAAACCCAUGAACCAUAAGUCCAUGAACCACAAACCCAUGAACCGUAAGUCCAUGAACCAUAAAUCCAUGAAUCAUGGACUUCAUGAACCAUAAGUCCAUGAACCAUAAACCCAUGAACCAUAAGUCCAUGAACCANCGCCGCCGGCGUAGACCCCCUCUUGCGCGGCCCCCACCGAUCGAAGCCGCACGAGGUCGCUCAAAGCUCCCUCAUCACCAUCGAGCCGGCCGCGCUAAACCCUUCCACUCGGCCGCUCCACUGAGCUCGCCGCCCUCAAUCGCUCGAAGCCGCUCCGGCCUUAGCCGCUCGAAGGCCCGCUGCUGUCCUUGACUCGAAGCCGCGCCACCCGCGGCCGAUACUUUCGAAGCCGCGCCACCCGCGGCAGGUCCGCCCGAAGCCACACAGAGGCUCCGUCGAAGUCGCUGUCCUCUCGAAGCCGCGCCACCAGCGGCCGGUCCUCUCGAAGCCGCGCCACCCGCGGCCGGUCCUCUCGAAGCCGCGCCACCCGCGGCCGAUCCGCCNCCCGAAGCCGCGCCACCCGCGGCCGAUACUUUCGAAGCCGCGCCACCCGCGGCAGGUCCGCCCGAAGCCACGCAGAGGCUCCGUCGAAGUCGCCGUCACCCGAAGCCGCGCCACCCGCGGCCGGUCCUCUCGAAGCCGCGCCACCCGCGGCCGGUCCUCUCGAAGCCGCGCCACCCGCGGCCGAUCCGCCCGAAGCCGCGCCACCCGCGGCCAAUUCGUCGAUGCCCAUGCCGAGCCGCCGCCCAUAACUCUGCUCGUGAUCUUGGCCGAGCCGCGCCACCCGCGCGCCGUCGUCGACUUUGAUGGCUCGAACCCGAGGAGUUCCCUCUAAUGCCGCGUCGCUCCACCUCGAAGGCCGCAGCCCCGUCGAUGCCACGCCGCUGUCGUGGCCCUUCACCGCUGCAGAGCGUCGUCGUCACGGCCCUCCUCCGUCGUGGUCUCAGAUCCGCGGCUCCACUGUCAGGUCACAGCCCCAGCGAAGCUCCGUCAUCAACAAAGCCCGCCAGCUGCUCGACGGCGAUCCUGAGAGAGAGAGCGGUGCUCUACUCUCAAACGGAGUCCGCCCACCAACCGCUCGACGGCGAACCUGAGAGAGAGAGCGGUGCUCUCCUCUUAAAUGAAUUUAGAUCCGCUCGCCAAGCGCUCGACGACGAAAUUGAGAGAGAGAGCGGUGCUCUCCUCUCAAAUGAAGUCAAGUCCGCCAACCGCUCCGACGACGAAUCCGAGAGAGAGAGCGGUGCUCUCCUCUCAAACAAAGUUCGCCCGCUAAUUGCUCGGUGGCGAAUCAUAAAGAGAGCGAUGCUCUCAUUUACCGACCAAUCAUUCGACGAAAUACUUCGUCGUCGACGUGCUAAUCAAACCGCUCGAUGGAAUGCCGAGAUGAACAUCGAUGGUGCUCUUUGCAAAAUAUCACCAAAAAGAGAGAUCACUCUAAAAGAGAGAGAGAGCUUUGACAAAAUCACAUUAGACACUUCAAAUUAAAUUGAAAUUUAAUUUGUUAUUCAAAUCCAGAAUUUGAAGAAAAUGUAUAUGAAAAUCUUAAUUGAUCAAAAAUUUUUUUUUUUAAUAAAACCUCGAGACAUGAAUCUAGGCCCGAUCAUAUGGACCUAAGUCAUUGAACCUCAACCCAUCCGUAUUAAAUCAACACUUUGACUCUAAACCCAUUUAACCCAAUCUAAUCUAAACCCAUUAACCUUAACCUCACUCAAAAUCCAUUAACCGUUACCUAUAACCCAAUCCUAUAACCUAAUCCAAUUAAACCUUAGCCCAAUUCUAAACCCAUAACCUAUAACCCAAUCCAAUUAAAUCUAGGCCUAGUCCAAAGCCCAGAGCCCAUUUACAAAUGGCCCCAGUCCAAAACCCAUUUGGGCCCACUAUCUAAGCCCAUUAUCCAAAACUCAUUAAAACCAUUAACCCAUAAACCCAUAUACAUAAACCUAUAUACAUUUACCCAUGAACCCAUACACAUUUAACCCAUAUCCAAGCCCAUAACCUUAACCAAGUCCAUGAACUUUGAACCAAAACCAUGGACCAAACCAUACACCAAAUCCUGUGGACCAUACCAUACACCAAAUCCACGAACUAUGAAUCAAGUUCAUGAAUCAAAUCAAGUUCAUGAGCCAUGGAUCAUAAACCACAAACCAUACACCAAGUUCAUGAACCAUAAACCCAUGAACCAUAAGUCCAUGAACCAUAAACCCAUGAACCAUAAGUCCAUGAACCAUAAACCCAUGAACCAUAAGUCCAUGAACCAUAAACCCAUGAACCAUAAGUCCAUGAACCAUAAACCCAUGAACCAUAAGUCCAUGAACCAUAAACCCAUGAACCAUAAGUCCAUGAACCAUAAACCCAUGAACCAUAAGUCCAUGAACCAUAAACCCAUGAACCAUAAGUCCAUGAACCAUAAACCCAUGAACCAUAAGUCCAUGAACCAUAAACCCAUGAACCAUAAGUCCAUGAACCAUAAACCCAUGAACCAUAAGUCCAUGAACCAUAAACCCAUGAACCAUAAGUCCAUGAACCAUAAACCCAUGAACCAUAAGUCCAUGAACCAUAAACCCAUGAACCAUAAGUCCAUGAACCAUAAACCCAUGAACCAUAUCUAAGUUCAUGAACCAUAAUCCCAUAUACCCAAUACCAUAAACCUUGUGAACCAAACCCAAACCUUCGACCGAAACGUCGUUAAACUAAUCCACCAAAUCAACCGACCGAAACGUCGUUAAACUAAACCUAAAUCCGAUAUCGACCGAAAUGUCGUUAAACUAAACUCAA
Molecule: long non-coding RNA, 4885 nt
Filed under: Ananas comosus (pineapple)
Lineage: Eukaryota; Viridiplantae; Streptophyta; Magnoliopsida; Poales; Bromeliaceae
Description: long non-coding RNA (ACOM_LNC003177)
Source: RNAcentral